Molecule: long non-coding RNA, 3862 nt
Filed under: Gossypium barbadense (sea-island cotton)
Lineage: Eukaryota; Viridiplantae; Streptophyta; Magnoliopsida; Malvales; Malvaceae
Description: long non-coding RNA (GBAR_LNC002228)
Source: RNAcentral
ACAAAACAUAACCAGAACCCUAAAACAAUCAAAGGAACCAGUCUGCAAUAACCUUCCUUCUCUACCAAAAUGACCAAAACCUCCUUGCUAAACUCACCAAUGAAACAAUGGAGAAGGAAAGGAGAUUAAAAGGACCCUUUUCCCAUAGUAUAAAGACCUCAAUCCCAAACAGACCCAUACCAGUCUAACUUCAUAGCGAGUUUAUCCACGUCCGAUCCUCUGCUACGAUCUCAUGAACCUUUGAAGGAACUUCAUCUACUAGAACAGGUCAGUUAAACCUUGCCAGCCAAUCCCCGCCGUUGCAUGUGCAGCAACAUUACAACUUCUAGGAGUGAAUUUAAAACUACAUGCCUCGAAACUUCUCAACAAAGCUAUCCUAGGUAAUUAGACGUAUAACUAAAUAGUCUUUUGCGUUUGUAUAUAAUUUUAGUAUUAUAGUCUUCAAAUCACUCUCCAGGAUGAUUUUCCAGAAACCUAUUUCUUGGGAAAAUUGGAGCCCAUGCAAAACUGUCAUCGCCUCCGCCAUGAAAAUCGUGCUGACCUAGCUAUGGAAUUGAUAACUCGAACCCAAUAUUUGCCCCAACUCAUCUCUAACAAUAAUCCCUUAUAUCGCUUUUUGAUUUGGUCCCAAAUCUCCCGCAUCGACAUUUACCUUGACCUACGAUGACGGUGGAAGAGUCCAACGUGCUACAACAACUAGAGAAGGGUGCCUCAAAACUGUACUCAGCGCCCGAUAUUCUUGCCCAUAAUCGCGAAUAAAGGUAACAACAUCAUUAACACUUUACGAAAUUCUUUCAUGGAUAAGUUUAUUUCGAGCUUGCCAUAAUGCCCAAAUUGUAAUAGCAGCAAGUUCUUUUUUGUCGUUGUUUAAAUGUUCAGAAAUCCAAAAUAACCAAUCUACUAAACUCAUCUCGGCCACCACUUUAGGCCACUAGAAUCCCAAUAUUUUCCAAGCCUACUUUAUGAAGAGGCAGUCCCGACUAACAUGAAUGAUCAAUUCAUCACAAUGCUAACACCGUAGGCACAAUUGUCCAACUGUUAUUGUUUUACAAUAUAAAAUUUUUAGUGUUGGUCCAUAAUUUUGAACAAAUCUCGAGAUUACAAUUUUUAUCUUUAACGUGCAUUUCAAACACCAAAACUGCUUAUAGAUACUGCGUUCAUUCAUACUUACAAUACCAGGAUGUAAUAAUGCCUUAUAGCCAUUACACACUGAAAAUUUCCCAAUAUGUUCCUUGUACCAAAUUUGCUUAUUCAUUUGAUUGAUUUGUGGUAAAGGUAUACUCAAAAUUGCAUUCGCUUCUUCAUCAAAGAAAAUUGAUCUAAUUAAAAUAUUAUUCCAACUGUUUGAUUCUUGCAUAAUUAAAUCACUAACCUGAUCAACACUUGAGACUUGCUCCGUAAUUACCUUCAUUGUUUCUUUACCAGGUAGCCAGUAAUCUUCCCAAAUAAACACCAUUAAUCCCAUCCCAAUCCUCCAUUUUAGCCCAGACUUCAGCAAACCUUUUGCACUCCAAAUGCUUAUCCAAGUCAUAAAAGGGUUUGAACCUAGAUUCAACUGAAGAAAACCUGUAUUUGGGUAAUAUUUCACCCGAAUCAGCCUUGUUGAUAAAGAGCUAGGAUUCUCAAGCAACCUUCAUCCCUACUUUACCAAUAAAGCAAUGUUAAACUUUGCUAAAUCCUUAAAACCCAUACCACCAUCCUCUAUCAGAUAACAAAGCUUGUCCUAAGAACACAAGUGCAUCCCUUUUAUCCCCCCCAAUUUCUACCACCAAAACCAAGCCAUCAUUACUUCAAGCUCCCUACAAAAUGAACUAGGUAAUAGAAAACACGAUGUAACAACCCAUUUUCAGUGGUGUCGGAAACAGUGGUUCGAGACCACUAAACCCGACAAGUGAGUUUGAAAAUUUUAUUAUUUAUUAUUUAUGAUUUAAAUAUGAUUUUAGGAAAACUUUUGAAUUAAUUAUUUUUGUUUUAGAAUGAAUUAUUAGGUUAAGUGAUUUCGAAAACAAGGUAUCGAGACCUUGAUUUCAUAAACUGAGUCGUAAAUAUUUUUAUAAAUAUUUACAGAGUGUCAAUGAGUUAGUAUUAAAGUUUCGUUAGAAAAUUUUAAUGUUUUGAUAGUUAAUUAAUUAAAAAGGACUAAAUUGAAAAAGGUGCAAAACUUGUUAAUUAAAGAAAUAAUGAUUAAAUAGCUCAAGUGAUAAAUAAGGAAGGACUAAAAGGGAAAUUAGCCAAAAUAGGAUGGAUGAGGCGGCAUUAGCAAGAAAAAAAUUAGGAAAUUAGGUUAAAUAAGCGUAAAAUUGGAAAUUUUGUAAAAUUAAAUAAAUAAAACAACAAUUAAAAGAAAGCUAAACAUUUCUUCAUGAAUUUUCAGCCAAAAAUUCCAUAAAAGAGUCCCUCUAAGCUGGUUUUUCAUAUUUUUGCUACAAUUGAGUUCAAUUCUUGCCUUUUUCUUCUAAUUUUUGUGUUUUUUAAAUUUUUACAAUUAGGUCCAACUAGCUAUUUCAUUAGUUUUUGAUUCUAUGGGUAAUUUUGAAAGUUAUCAUUGAUGAGUUCUGGGUUUUUAUGAUUAAUUAACAUGGAUUUGAAGCUUUAAUUUUGUUAUAUGAUGAUUUUAUUAAGAAAUUUCAAUAGAAAUUGAUUUUAGGACCUAAUUGUGAAAAAGAUUAAAUCUUAGGGUUUGACAUUAAAUUAUAUUUUUCAAAGGCUGUGAAAUAGCUUAUAAUACUUAGAUAAAUUAUCAAUUGUGAAAAAUUAGAUCAAUUGAUAGGAUAUUUGGUAAGGGACUAAAUUGUAAAAAUUGUAAAAGUUGGACUAAUUGUGUAAUUUCAAAAUUUAAGGGGUAUUAAUUGUGAAUUUAAUUGAAAUUUAAAUAUAUGCUAAUGAUUGAAUAAUUUUACAUUAUAGAUCAAAAGCCCAUAGAUCAACGAGAAAAAGGGAAAUUAGCAGAAUAGUCCCUAACUAUUACAAACUUACAAUUCAGCCCAGGUAAGUUCGUAUGGUUAAAAUUUCAUGAUUAUUUAUUAAUUUAUGAAUGAUAUAAUUUAUUUAUUCAUAUUUUUAUUAUUGAAAUUAAAAUUUAUUGUUAAAAUAUGAAAUUGAAAUGAAUGUUUAAAACAAGUAGAACGCAGGAUAGAGUACAACCAUUUUAUAACAAAAGAUGAAUUGACGGAUAAGACCGUGGCUAGAUCAUGGCAAUGUUUAUAUGUAAGACCAUAGUUGGGCUAUGACAUUCUGAUGAUAAGACCAUAACUGGGUUAUGGCACUACGAAUGUAAGACCAUGGCUGGGCCAUGGCAAUGCAUGUGUAAAACCAUAGUUGGAAUAUGGCACAAAGAAAACGAUAUGCUCAUAUCCAUAAGUCGUUCCUUGAUUCAGUAAAAAUUGGUAAAAGAUCUAUGUGAAUGAACUGAAAGAUAUAUUGAUUAUUAAUGAUAUUGAUUUGAAGGAAGUGUGCUUAUUGACUUAUGUUGUAUUUGAUAGGGAGAAUGUAUGAUUUAUUUACAGUUUAGUUUAUUAUAUUAAGUUCAGUAAGAUCAAAGUUUAAUAUAUUGAACUUACUAAGCUUUAUUAAGCUUACUCGUGUUGUUUUAUAUUCUUGUAGAUUAGCGUGUGAUCGGGAGAUCGGAUCAACAUAUCAAGCCACACUAUCCAGUUUAGUCCAGUAGUUUUUGAAAUGUAAAUUUUGGUUUAUAUGGCAUGUAUAGGGUUGGUUUGGCAAUGAAAUAGUUUGAAUUAUGGUUGUGAAUUUUAAAUGUUUGUAUGUAUGUAAUUAGUAGUAGAAUUUGAUAAAUCAAUGAAAUGAGUUAAAUGGGUAAGUAUAAGUAAUUGAUGUAUAUGUAAUGUUAUAUUAUGUUUAGAAC